Molecule: ribosomal RNA, 515 nt
Filed under: uncultured Methanofollis sp.
Lineage: Archaea; Methanobacteriati; Methanobacteriota; Methanomicrobia; Methanomicrobiales; Methanomicrobiaceae
Description: bacterial SSU rRNA
Rfam family: Archaeal small subunit ribosomal RNA
Source: RNAcentral
UUGUGGGAGCAAGAGCCCGGAGAUGGAUUCUGAGACACGAAUCCAGGCCCUACGGGGCGCAGCAGGCGCGAAAACUUUACAAUGCAGGAAACUGUGAUAAGGGAACCCCGAGUGCCCGUAUGGACGGGCUGUUCAGGUGCUUAAAAACCACCUGGAGAAAGGGCCGGGCAAGACCGGUGCCAGCCGCCGCGGUAAUACCGGCGGCUCGAGUGGUGGCCACUAUUACUGGGCUUAAAGCGUCCGUAGCUUGGUCGUUAAGCCUCUGGGGAAAUCUUCCGGCUCAACCGGAAGGCGUCUCAGGGGAACUGGCGACCUAGGGAUCGGGAGAGGUGAGAGGUACUCUGGGGGUAGGAGUGAAAUCCUGUAAUCCUCAGGGGACCACCUGUGGCGAAGGCGUCUCACCAGAACGACUCCGACAGUGAGGGACGAAAGCUGGGGGAGCAAACCGGAUUAGAUACCCGGGUAGUCCCAGCCGUAAACUAUGCGCGUUAGGUGGUAUUGGGAAUUCCUGCAGC